RNAcentral lists this ribosomal RNA (264 nucleotides) under uncultured archaeon. Its description in RNAcentral is "partial 16S ribosomal RNA". It matches the Rfam family "Archaeal small subunit ribosomal RNA", at positions 717 to 982 of the family's 1478-position model. The record is from RNAcentral.
AGACGUCUACAUUAGAUACCCGGGUAGUCCCAGCCGUAAACGAUGCGCGUUAGGUGUAUCGGUGACCACGAGUUACCGAGGUGCCGAAGGGAAACCGUGAAACGUGCCGCCUGGGAAGUACGGUCGCAAGGCUGAAACUUAAAGGAAUUGGCGGGGAGCACCACAACGGGUGGAGCCUGCGGUUUAAUUGGACUCAACGCCGGGAAGCUCACCGGAUAAGACAGCGGAAUGAUUGCCGGGCUGAAGACUCUGCAUGACCAGCUG